AUUGAACGCUGGCGGCAGGCCUAACACAUGCAAGUCGAGCGGAUGAAGGGAGCUUGCUCCUGGAUUCAGCGGCGGACGGGUGAGUAAUGCCUAGGAAUCUGCCUGGUAGUGGGGGAUAACGUCCGGAAACGGGCGCUAAUACCGCAUACGUCCUGAGGGAGAAAGUGGGGGAUCUUCGGACCUCACGCUAUCAGAUGAGCCUAGGUCGGAUUAGCUAGUUGGUGGGGUAAAGGCCUACCAAGGCGACGAUCCGUAACUGGUCUGAGAGGAUGAUCAGUCACACUGGAACUGAGACACGGUCCAGACUCCUACGGGAGGCCGCAGUGGGGAAUAUUGGACAAAGGGCGAAAGCCUGAUCCAGCCAUGCCGCGUGUGUGAAGAAGGUCUUCGGAUUGUAAAGCACUUUAAGUUGGGAGGAAGGGCAGUAAGUUAAUACCUUGCUGUUUUGACGUUACCAACAGAAUAAGCACCGGCUAACUUCGUG
Molecule: ribosomal RNA, 484 nt
Filed under: uncultured bacterium
Lineage: Bacteria
Description: partial 16S ribosomal RNA
Rfam family: Bacterial small subunit ribosomal RNA
Source: RNAcentral